AGAGUUGAUCAUGCUCAGAAUGAACGCUGGCGGCGUGCUUUACACAUGCAAGUCGAGCGAGCGUGUAGCAAUACACAGUCGAGCGGCGAACGGGUGAGUAACACGUGGAUCAUCUACCUUCAGGUGGGGGAUAACCCGGGGAAACUCGGGCUAAUACCGCAUAAUAUCGUGAGAUCAAAGGGGCGCAAGUCCCGCCAGAAGAGGAGUCCGCGUUCGAUUAGCUAGUUGGUAGGGUAAUGGCCUACCAAGCGACGAUCGAUAGCCGGCCUGAGAGGGUGAUCGGCCACACUGGAACUGAGACACGGUCCAGACUCCUACGGGAGGCAGCAGUGGGGAAUUUUGCGCAAUGGGCGAAAGCCUGACGCAGCAACGCCGCGUGGAGGAUGAAGGUCUUUGGAUUGUAAACUCCUGUCAGCAGGAAAAAGGGGUCUGGCCACACCAGAUCAUUGAUUGUACCUGCAGAGGAAGCCCCGGCUAACUCUGUGCCAGCAGCCGCGGUAAUACAGAGGGGGCAAGCGUUAUUCGGAAUUAUUGGGCGUAAAGGGCGCGUAGCGGCUUGGCAGUGGAAGGUGAAAUCCCUCGGCUCAACCGAGGAACUGCCUUCUAAACUGCUUUGAUUGAGUCCGGGAGAGGUCAGUGGAAUCCCAGUGUAGCGGUGAAAUGCGUAGAUAUUGGGAGGAACACAGUGGCGAAGGCGGUGACUGGACGGUACUGACGCUGAGGCGCGAAGCGUGGGAGCAACGGGAUA
RNAcentral lists this ribosomal RNA (748 nucleotides) under uncultured bacterium. RNAcentral describes it as "bacterial SSU rRNA". It matches the Rfam family "Bacterial small subunit ribosomal RNA", at positions 8 to 779 of the family's 1533-position model. The record is from RNAcentral.